GUACUUUUGAAUAAAACGCAAUUCGUUCAUGUUGAUUCAACUUAGUGCUCCAGGGAAGACGCUGACUUGGAUUUCUUGCUUAAUGAACCUUUUGCUAUAUAUUUUUUCUCAGCGGUUUUCUAUAACUGAGUACUUCAUGUAAAAAGAAUAUAGGGGAUCUUGAGAACUAUAGUUAUUUUUUGUUAGGAAAGGACGAUUAAUUGAUGAAUAUAUACAUUGGAAGAAGUUUAUAAAAUAAUGAAUAAAAUUCAGACUAUUUUUCCC
Paramuricea clavata is the source of this 264-nucleotide non-coding RNA. The record is from the annotation of a GenBank genome assembly. Lineage: Eukaryota; Metazoa; Cnidaria; Anthozoa; Malacalcyonacea; Plexauridae.